UCAGAUGAUGAGUUAAAACUGUUCAACUGC
Molecule: non-coding RNA, 30 nt
Filed under: Cricetulus griseus (Chinese hamster)
Lineage: Eukaryota; Metazoa; Chordata; Mammalia; Rodentia; Cricetidae
Source: RNAcentral